Molecule: long non-coding RNA, 268 nt
Filed under: Manihot esculenta (cassava)
Lineage: Eukaryota; Viridiplantae; Streptophyta; Magnoliopsida; Malpighiales; Euphorbiaceae
Description: long non-coding RNA (MESC_LNC001070)
Source: RNAcentral
UUAAGAAUGGUCUUCCAAGUAGGAUAUCAGAGGUGGUGUUGCUCUUGUCUUCCUCCAUGUCAAUAACAUAAAAAUCUGCUGGAAAGACUAAUUGGUCCACUUGCACCAACACAUCUUCUAGCACUCCUUUGGGGUAGACAAUGGAUCGGUCAGCUAAUUGGAUCACAAUGCUGGUGCCCUUGAGUGUACCUGCAUUUAACAGGUUAAAAAUGGAAAGAGGCAUGACAUUUAUUGAAGCUCCAAGGUCACACAUGGCCUUCUUUAUCCC